RNAcentral lists this long non-coding RNA (353 nucleotides) under Dermacentor andersoni. Its description in RNAcentral is "uncharacterized LOC126524420". The record is from RNAcentral. Lineage: Eukaryota; Metazoa; Arthropoda; Arachnida; Ixodida; Ixodidae.
CUAGCAACAAGCUAGCGGCACGCCAGACGCGCGUGCAUACGUCAUGCGCCAGACAAGCCGCAGGAGUGAGCUAGGCCGGUCGUACGUGCGAAGCUCGCGUGCGCGGCGACCCGUCUGUUUUGGAUAUAGCCUAUUUUUUUGCGCUCCCGGCCUUCACUAUGCUUCUCUUGCGUAUCGUCUGCAUUUCGGCACGGCACCACUGCACUACUGGACUACGGCAAGCUGAUGGCAUCCGGUGGAGCAUCGUACGGCAACGACUGCUGCUUACCUGGUACCACAACUUUGGAUGAAUGCAGAAGAAGCCCGGAACGAGCAUUUAUAUAGAGCAAAAUAAACAUUUCAUCAUUUCAGAA